Long non-coding RNA from Podarcis raffonei (Aeolian wall lizard), 481 nucleotides. RefSeq lists it as uncharacterized. The record is from RefSeq and is a predicted model, not a curated record. The transcript has 2 exons. Lineage: Eukaryota; Metazoa; Chordata; Lepidosauria; Squamata; Lacertidae.
CCUGAAAGUCCCACAAGAUGACAUGCUGCAUUUCUCCAGGAGUUUCCAGAGAUGGUGGAUUUUAUGGGAGCAACAGUGAAGUGCUUGUUGACAUUGCUCCUGAGAGCAGAGUGCGGGUCCAACCGGGACACUGUGCCCUCACACUCCCUCCAGCCCAAGUCAGCACCACCAAUGAACCCUUCAGAAUAUCUUGCCACUAUAAGGAAGCCAGCUGCAACAUGCUUCCCGCUACGAAGUCUUGCUGCUCCCCAAACAAUUGGAUGUGUCCCUCUCGUACUGGAUCCUGCAGAGGAUGGACUGGUUCAUCAAGUCUUGGGACGCGAGUAGGAAUACAGCCACAAAGCUGUGAAGUGGUUUUCCCAGGGGGAUAUCUGUGUAGCAAUGUUCAUAAUGGAAAAGUCUCCUGCUGCCAGGCCUGCAAACCAUGUUAGUCCCCAAUGCAGUCUACGAAACACACAAUAAAUGGGACAUGUAAAAUGCU